AGCGAACGCUGGCGGCAGGCUUAACACAUGCAAGUCGAACGCCCCGCAAGGGGCGUGGCAGACGGGUGAGUAACACGUGGGAACGUACCCUUUGGUUCGGAAUAACUUGGGGAAACUCAAGCUAAUACCGGAUAAGCCAUUAUGGGGAAAGGUUUACUGCCGAAGGAUCGGCCCGCGUCUGAUUAGCUAGUUGGUGAGGUAAUGGCUCACCAAGGCGACGAUCAGUAGCUGGUCUGAGAGGAUGAUCAGCCACACUGGGACUGAGACACGGCCCAGACUCCUACGGGAGGCAGCAGUGGGGAAUAUUGGACAAUGGGGGCAACCCUGAUCCAGCCAUGCCGCGUGAGUGAUGAAGGCCUUAGGGUUGUAAAGCUCUUUUACCCGGGACGAUAAUGACUGUACCGGGAGAAUAAGCCCCGGCUAACUUCGUGCCAGCCGCCGCUGUAA
This 447-nucleotide ribosomal RNA is filed under the name uncultured bacterium. RNAcentral's name for it is "partial 16S ribosomal RNA". It matches the Rfam family "Bacterial small subunit ribosomal RNA", at positions 29 to 523 of the family's 1533-position model. The record is from RNAcentral.